Molecule: ribosomal RNA, 898 nt
Filed under: Cubana sp. 1 PCC-2008
Lineage: Eukaryota; Metazoa; Arthropoda; Insecta; Hemiptera; Cixiidae
Description: eukaryotic LSU rRNA
Rfam family: Eukaryotic large subunit ribosomal RNA
Source: RNAcentral
ACAACUCNCCUGCCGAAGCAACUAGCCNUUGAAAUGGAUGGCGCUCUAGCGUCGUGCCUAUACCGGGCCGUCAACGGCAAAGUGGGCGUCUGCCUUCGGGCAAGAGCCGUUAUGCCUUGACGAGUAGGAGGGUCGCGGCGGUGUGCGCAGAAGGGUCGGGGCGUGAGCCCGCCUGGAGCCGCCGUCGGCGCAGAUCUUGGUGGUAGUAGCAAAUACUCUAGCGAGGGCCUGGAGGACUGACGUGGAGAAGGGUUUCUUGUGAACAGCCGUUGCACAAGAGUCAGUCGACCCUAAGCCCUAGGAGAAAUCCGAUGUUGAUGGGUGGCUAGACAAAAACCAUGUUCUGUUUGUUGCGAAACGAAUCUCUUCCCUUUGUCUGUGACCGUCUCCCGGAGGCUGUAAAGCCACGGCAGUAUGGCCGACGUUCGAGUUCAGCUGUGGAUCGUCCACAGCGAGGACCUUACGGGUUGNAGAUGCGUUACGUUUCAUCCCUGAGGCCGGUGGUGAUUCGCCUGUGCCAGGGGCUGAACUUCGUGACAACUGCUCCUGUCGGGCAAAAGGGAAUCCGGUUCCUAUUCCGGAACCCGGCUGCGGAACCGUCACUCUGCGGGCACUCGCCUGCGAGCGCUCGUCGGGGUAACCCAAACUGGCCCGGAGACGCCGGCGGGGGGUCUGGAAAGAGUUUUCUUUUCUUUAUAAGCGUUCGAGUACCCUGGAAUCCUAUAGCAGGGAGAUAGGGUUUGGAACGCGAAGAGCACCGCAGUUGCGGCGGUGUCCGGACCUUCCCCCCGGACCUUGAAAAUCCGGGUGAGGGCUACGCGGAAGUCGCGCCGGAUCGUACCCAUAUCCGCAGCAGGUCUCCAAGGUUAAGAGCCUCUAGUCGAUAGAAUAAUGUAGG